RNAcentral lists this ribosomal RNA (497 nucleotides) under uncultured bacterium. RNAcentral describes it as "partial 16S ribosomal RNA". It matches the Rfam family "Bacterial small subunit ribosomal RNA", at positions 28 to 507 of the family's 1533-position model. The record is from RNAcentral.
GAUGAACGCUGGCGGCGUGCCUAAUACAUGCAAGUCGAGCGAACAGACGAGGAGCUUGCUCCUCUGACGUUAGCGGCGGACGGGUGAGUAACACGUGGAUAACCUACCUAUAAGACUGGGAUAACUUCGGGAAACCGGAGCUAAUACCGGAUAAUAUAUUGAACCGCAUGGUUCAAUAGUGAAAGACGGUUUUGCUGUCACUUAUAGAUGGAUCCGCGCCGCAUUAGCUAGUUGGUAAGGUAACGGCUUACCAAGGCAACGAUGCGUAGCCGACCUGAGAGGGUGAUCGGCCACACUGGAACUGAGACACGGUCCGGACUCCUACGGGAGGCAGCAGUAGGGAAUCUUCCGCAAUGGGCGAAAGCCUGACGGAGCAACGCCGCGUGAGUGAUGAAGGUCUUCGGAUCGUAAAACUCUGUUAUUAGGGAAGAACAAAUGUGUAAGUAACUAUGCACGUCUUGACGGUACCUAAUCAGGAAGCCACGGCUAACUACGUG